UUUUUUUUUUUGGUAUCAGGGAUUUAACCCAGGGGUGCUUUACCACUGAGACACAUCCCCAGCCCUUUUCAUUUUUUGGUUUUGAAGUAGGGUCUUGCUAAAAUGCUUAGGGCCUCACUAAGUUGCUAAGGCUGGCCCAGAACUUGCGAUUCUCUUGCUUCAGCCUCCCAAGUUGCUGGGAGGACAGGUUUGCACCACCUCGUCUGGCAAAACUGACACUUUUGGGGGCGUGUAUUGGAGAUCAAACCCAGGGUCUUGCUCCCAUGCUAGGUGAGCACUCUACCACUAAGCUACAUCCCCAGCCCCACUGAGGGCAGUAUUUUAAGCAAUGAAAUCACUAAAUCACUAACUAGAGAGUAGUAUGCAGGGCAAAAGAUUGAAUGACCAGUUAGAGGAAGCUGCAUGAUCUUAGAUGAGACAUAAUGGAGGUUUUGGCUAGACCAUAGUGUAGAGAAAAGAGUUCAUUAAUUUCAAAUUUAUGCAGCAAUAAUGUAGUAGCCAAUAUUUAAUGCUUACUGUUUGUAAGACAUUACUUUGCAUACUUUCAGUAUACUGACAUUUAAUCUUCACAUCAACUUGUAUGGAGGGGAAAUACAUGACAUAUAAUAGCAAAUAUUUUUUGGCUAAUCUUUGUGCUAAUGUCUUCAUGGGUAUGAUCCCUGCUUCAUUCUUGCACAAUUAUCAUUUUAUUCUCAUUUUACACAUGAAGAAAUGAAAUCUUAAAGAAGUUAAGUAACUUGCCUUAGGUUACACUCAGUGGCAAAGGUCAGACUUUGAACUGAUUUAAUUCUAAAUUCUUUGUUUUUAAAUUACUAAUAUAGAUGGUUUCAGAUGCUGAACAUAGGGUGAGGCAUUAUGGAGGAUUAAAGAUGAAACCUGGUGUCUGGCUGGUAUCUGCCACUGAUGAAACAAGUGGAAGGAGGGGUUAGGAUGAGUUACAAGUAAAGAGUUUGAGGUGAUAGAGGGACAUUGAAGUGGACAAAUGCAAAGAGCACUUACCUCUGUAGAGCUGAAGCACAGGAGAAGGCUGAAUUCUGGAUGUAGAUUUGGCACAGACUAUGCUUCAAACAAUGGGAAUAUUUGAGCUGCUGGGGCGCAUUAGUGUGAGAAGAGCAGAAAGUUUAGCUUUGAACCCUGGUGGUAUGUAAAUAUUAAAGAAGGGAAAGAUGAUCCUGAAAAACUAAGGAAUUGACUGGUUUAAAACAUUUCCUUCCUUCCUUCCUUCCUUCCUUCCUUCCUUCCUUCCUUCCUUCCUUCCUUCCUUCCUCCCUCCCUCCCUCCCUCCCUCCCUCCCUCUCUCUCUUUCUUUCCUUCCUUCCUUCCUUUUUCUUUCUUUUCUUUUUUUUUUCUUUAAAGGAAACUCUGUGGCUUUCCAGUGCAAAGAGAUGCACUAGCAGCAAAACAGUAUGGUUUGGUUUGAUAGGUUUCAUCUUUAGAUAUGUUCAUUUUUCUUGCAAUCUUGCUACAGUUUUUGGAUCUUGCUCUGUCCCCUGGAACCCUAGAGGGCAUGACUUAAAACUUUCAUUUAGUUCUCCUUUCCUUUGGUAUAAAACUAAGGUUCAGUCUUUCCCAAGGACCACUUCAUCAUUGGGCCAAAUGGACAAUAGCUCAUUUUCUUCCUACUAUUGGGCCUGUGCCUGACUGUCCUAUCUAAUCCUAUUCUAUUUCUCUCUUGCUUGUUCCUUGACCUUUGUAUGUCUUUUCUAAUUCUUCAACUAAGUCUCUAGUUGCUAUCACUCCAGACCUGUACUACCUAGCAGCCUAUCUAAAAUUAUGUCUCUGUUUAUGUUUUCCUGUUGAAUUUUGUCCAAGAGUGGUAAGCAUAGCCAGUAGGUUCACCCUGUGGCUGAUAGGAUGCCACUUAAUGUGAAGUCUAUCCUCCAUCUGUCCCUGCAGAACAGAUUCCUAGCACACUCAAGAUAAGCAUCCUGGAGGACUGGCAAGACUGGCCUGGGAACCCACAUCCCUUUUAAUCUUUCCUCUCCUGUUUUUUAUCCUUUUGCAUACCCUGAUUGCAACAGAACUAUUGCCACAUGAACCCAGACUUUCAGGGUUCAAAGGGAACAGUGCAGGUUGGAGGCUUGUCCUUACACCGUAGCUCUCCGCUGUAUUGCAAGUACAACAUCGAGCACAGAGAAUAGUAGGUUCGCAACACAGCAGUCAUGGUAGCCAACAUGAAUAGAAGAGAUGCCCUCUGAUGGCAGAGCUGGCCCCCAGCCAGGAGUCCACCUCCAGCAAGAGAGCAUGCACCUACAAUUUGUACCCCAACCCUAACCUACCUUGUACAUUUAUUAUUUUUUAAAUUUUUCGUUUAAAUGCUGGGGAUGUAGCUCAGUAAUAGAGUGAAUGCUUAGCAUGUGUGAGGCCCAGCACUUCCAAAACAAAGUUGAUUGCCACCACUGAAGCCAACACAAAAACCCAAACCUGACUUAAACAAAACAAAAAAAAAUUGGUUUAUUUUAUAAGAGCUUAUAUAACUUUUUUCCCCCCCUGUACAUCUAUAGUAGGCAAGUGCUGUACCACUGAGUCUGAUUUUGGUUUUUUUAAAUCCAGUCAUUUGAAGUCUACAACCUGCUUCUAGCUUGUUUUAGAGGGAAAUUCCUAGGAGGAAACCUGGCUCAAUUUGAUUCUCAUCAUGUCUUCUUUUUACUUUUGAGAAGCCAGGCCCCCAAAGCUCAUGCUGAACCUGAUUAAUGUCUGACUGUAGAUGCUUGGUAACUCAGAUCUGACCCCACCUUUGAACUCUAACUCAUUCUAGUAAUGGUACCUCAUUGCCAGUUGCUUUAUAAGGCACAUCCUUCAUAGUGUCACAUGAAAUUGGUGUUUUUUUGUUUUUUUUUUGACAAUACUGGGGAUUGAACCCAGGAAUGCAUACCAAUGAGCUAAAUCUCCAUCCCUUUUUAUUUUGAGAUAGGAUCUUGCUAAAUUGCUGAGGCUGGCCUCGACCUUUCAAUCUUCGUCCCUCAGGCUUCCAAGUCACUGGGAUUAAAGGUGUGUGUCCCAUGCCUUGCUGAAAUGACUUUUAAAUAAAAUCCUUACUCCUUUAGUUAUUUCAUUAUUAAACUACUUCAUACAGAUCCUAGAGCUUAGGGUGCUUCCUGCUUUUAAGUACCAAUUCCAGGGACAGAGGCUGUAAAUUAAUAAAUUAAUGAGUUAAGUAUUAUUAUAGUGAACAUUUUUCACAUUUAGAAGAGAGGUGAACUCUGCUGGAGAGAGGCAAGCUUCCUUGAGGUGAUAUUUGAUUAGUUUUAAAGGAUAAUCAGGAUUCUGCCCAUUCGAGAAUAUGCAAAACCAUUAAAGUCAAAUGGAAUAAUGUGCAAAAGAACAGAGGUAUGAAGAGAAUAUGUUUAGUAGGUAUCCAAAUAGACAAGGGAACCUUCUCUUUGUAGACACAUUUCAUCUAAUAAGUGAUUAAAAUAAAAUAUCACCAUUUUGCAGUCCUUAAUAAACAGGUCUUGGCAUCAAGUACCAAUAGCUACUAACAUGUGUCACAAGACACAACUUGUAAAGUAGGUAAAAGAAAAAAAAAUAGGACUGGGGGUGUGGCUCAGUGGUAGAGUGAGUGCCCCAAGUUCUAUCCCUAGAACCAUUAGAGAGAAAAGCCUCUAGAUUCAACUACUGUUUUAUAGGAAAAUCAAAGGAUAGGGAAAAUAUUGAACUACACCAAUGAAUGUCAUUAGCUAAAUGGUGUGGGGGCAUUGCAAAAUAAAUAACCAAGUCCCUUAAUAAAUUAAUUAUAAGAAAAAAAAUGGAGGGAGUCCUGUAGAUUAAAAGACAUUGAUCUCAAUGCAUGGGUUUUACUUGGAUCAUGAUAUAUAGAUGACAUUUUAUAAGAUAAUUGGAGACAAUUAAUCUUUAAAUCCCAGAUAUUUGAUGUUACAAAGGGAUGAUUCUUUUUUUUUAGAUGUGAUGGUGAUAUUGUAGAUUAUAAUGACUUCUUGCAAAUUUGAGCAAUAUGCUGAAAUUUUAAUAGAUGAAAUGUCAUGAUGAGAAAAUUUGCUUCUAAGUAGUGUGGGAAAGAGUGGACAGGGACGUAAAUGAAACAUGGUUGGCUUUGAGUUGGUAAUUGAAGCUGGGUUAUGGGUAUAUGGAGGUUCAUUAUAGUGUUCUAUUUGAUUUUUAUGUAGAGUUGAGAAGCUCUGUAAUAAAAAGUGUUUUUUUUUAAUGGUAAAUUUGAGAACUAAUAGUUCCAUGUGGCUGAGGCACACGGGGACCUAGGGAGCAGCAGAAAGUAGGGUUGACAGGGGGCCAGUGGCAGCCUAGGUGAUGCUUGGGUUAUGAAGUUCUUUUACUGCCAUAGGAAGGCAAAUGGAUUUCUGACCACCUGAGACCCAGAAAUCUGUGGUGGGUCUUCUGGAUUAGCCACAAGGAUGGCAUGAGAGGAGCUCAACAGAGGGGACACUGGGUCACAUUUUUAACAAGAACAGGUUUGCUUCUAACUUUUAUAAAAUGUGACUUCUGGGUAAUAUUUCAUUUAAAAACAGGAUUCUGGAGAAAUUAAUUUUUUUUCUAUAGCCAUUGAGGGAACAGUUUAAAGGCAAUAGUUUGAGUUAUAGUGCAGAAGAUUUUAGAAUGGAAGUGCAGAACACAGGGAAAUCAACCAUGAGGCUAUUGCAAUACCUCAAAUGAAUGAGAAAUUUAAGGGGAAUUUAGCUAAUGGAGAUUUGGUCAGGGAGAUAGAUCUUUAGUGAUAAUUGUAGUAGUCAUUUCCCAGACCACAAUCCCUGAAAGGACAAUAAAGAGGGUAUGAUAAUAUGCUCACUUUUCAGUAAUAACAGAUGGAACCACUCUGAGCACAUACUGGGGUAUGGGCUGGAACAGAGCUCCCUCUUCUAUCCUGCUAUUGGCAGAGCACCACAACUCGCCAACCCCUUGCUGCAGUUGCAGUGUCAGGAGCAGAAUCUCCUUUCUAAUCUUUUGGGCACCAUGGGGUAGGGAAUAACACCAGUUGUCUGGCUCACAGUAACCACUUCUAUCAGUUGCUCCUGUUUCAAUUUUAGUAGCAUCCCAUCCACACACCACAUACCACACACCACACACAUGUAUUUAACAGUACUCUACCUUCUAACAGCAGCUUAAACUCCAGACUGUAAGACCCCCAGAGUUAACCAUUUUCCCUUUUCUCUACAACCUUGGAGUUUUCCAACUAGAAAAAUCCACUGACCUUCCUUCUAUUAAUUUCUCCCCGAGCUAAUAUCUGUCUGAUCCCUGUGCCUUUAAAGCACACGGACAUACACUAAUGCACAAAGUUGCCUCUAUCUAAUGAAAAUAAACUAUUAACGUUUCAGACUUACUGGUGAAAAUCUUCUAGGUGCAUCUUCAUGAGUCUCUACCCCACUGGCUUCCUCUCUGCUGGUUUUGUGUGUAGUUUUUACUUUUCCUUUUUCCCUUCCAACAUGAUGGCUUGAAUGAGGCCUCCUUAGUUCUGACCUUUUGCUUGUUAAUACAGUUCUUUUUUUUUAAUUUUUAUUUUUUAGUUGUUGAUGGACCUUUAUUUUUAUUUAUUUGUAUGUGGUGCUGAGAAUCGAACCCAGUGCCUCACACAUGCUAAGCAAGCGUUCUAUCACUAAGCAACAACCCCAGCCCGUUAAUACAGUUCUUAAGCCCUCUUGGAUUAUACAACUCCUUGAAAUCUAAUGAUAGAUAUGGACCUUCUCCAGAAAAAUUCCCACACACGGUGUUUUGCUUACAAUUUGAGCGAUUUUCAAGGCUGUGCCUUAUGCAUCAGAUGGACUUGGCUACGGAGGGUUCCUUGAUAAAAUUGCAGUAUUCUUGGUCCUACUCCAGACCUAUUAAAUCAGAAUUUCUGGUGUUAGAAUCAGCAGUUUAAAUAAUCUCCCUGGUAAUUCUCAAGUCCACUAAAAUUUGAGAGAUUCUACUCUGAAGACUUAGUUUGUCUUUAUGGUCUAUCUCAUCUUCCCAUCCAAGUUACUUAACUCUGGCAACAGGGGUUCAAAUUCUGGAAUCCAAGCCUCAUCCCAAGAGAACAAUUACUUUCCUCUAGGGCUAAAAAGUGAACCCCUUUCUUGGAGAUGCUCUAAAUAGGACAAUGGCUCUGAGUUUCUUUCAUUUCCAAGAGCAGUUCUGAAUUCGGGGAGCCGAAUCUCAUGUCCCAGAAAAACCACACUUCAUUCCUUCCUUCUAGCCAUUUUCAUCAGUUCUUUCUGUGCUCAUCUGCCUUCAUCCAUCCUGGAACCUCCCAAGCAAGAUGCUUUGUGCUUCUGUGUGUUUGUUUCAUCUUAGGUGUAUUAUUCUUGUGGGAUAGCCAGCAAUCUACAGCUAGAGAGUCUUGUAAGCAGAGUUAGAGGGAUGCAGUAAAAAGCUUUGCAGAGUUAAGCCUACAUCUAGCAAGUCCAGCUACUUCCUUGAGGUUCAAAACUGAUAAUAGCAGAGAUCAUAUGGCUAACUUCCUUUUGAGUCUUUUUACUGGCUAUGAAAUGUUUAACAAUGUAAUUGACAAUAAUUUAAAAAGUAUGAAAAGUUACUUUUUUAAAAGCACAGGAUAAAUAAAUUAUAAUCCUGGGUCCCACCAUACAGAGGCAACCAUUAAUAUUUUUACAUUCAUUCAUCUAGUUUUUUCCUAUGUUUUAAAUAAUAUAAUAGAGCUUAUAUUACAUAUAAAGCGCAGCUAUCUGCUUUUUGUGUCCUACAUUGUUUUAUAACAUUUCUAAACUGAUUCUUUAAAACCAUAUUUUUUUUCAUGGCUGCAUAAAUAUACCAUUAUUUAUUUAACCUUUGCUCAGUUGUUGGAUACUUAAAUGUUAUACCUAUGUAUAGUAUUACAAAUAUUCUGUAAUAAACAUAUUUGUGCCUAAA
This 6816-nucleotide long non-coding RNA is filed under the name Marmota monax (woodchuck). The record is from RNAcentral. Lineage: Eukaryota; Metazoa; Chordata; Mammalia; Rodentia; Sciuridae.